GCCGGGAUGGCGCAAUUGGUAGCGCAACUGAUUUGUAAUCAGUAGGUUACGGGUUCGAGUCCCGUUUCCGGCUCCA
RNAcentral lists this transfer RNA (76 nucleotides) under Corynebacterium sp. Its description in RNAcentral is "tRNA-Thr". It matches the Rfam family "tRNA". Rfam says of the family: Transfer RNA (tRNA) molecules are approximately 80 nucleotides in length. RNAcentral also lists the same sequence under 53 other names. Lineage: Bacteria; Bacillati; Actinomycetota; Actinomycetes; Mycobacteriales; Corynebacteriaceae. The record is from RNAcentral.